UCUUGUGUACCGGUCCUUGUGUUUUGUUUGUUAUCGAUUCUGAUGGGUAGCGCCUUAGUUACCGUCAUAUUAGCAGCCGGCCAGCGAAACUUCACUGCAAAUAGAAUCUCUACCCGAGAAGCUUCACUGCACAUUAUAAAUUACAUUUAAAGAUGGGGAACGCAUGCUGCAGCGGUAAAGGGAAUGGGGGAGUCAUGAAAGAAGUGAACAAAUUCUGUAAGUGUGGAGGACCCCGCCCACAUUCCGGACAUAGUCGAAAAGGCUCCGGACAUAGCCGAAAAGGCUCCGGAAAACACCGAGGAAAGGGGCAUGGCCGUAAGCGCAGAGGAUCAGGAUCUUCCAAAGGAUCGCAUUGACCCCAGAAGACCUAGAUCUAUGUUGUGUAAAUAUCACCAUGGUUGAUUGUUAACCGCACUGACUUUAACAAAUACUGAUAUACUCCUAACAUUUCUUGAGAUUUUAUGUUAUGAAAUAAGUCGAAGAUGCUUCUCUAGAUAUUUUUUUUUAACUUUGACGAUUAAAAACCCCCCAUAAAAGCUUGCAACCCAAGUGCCAGUAUGUGAUAAGUGACAUUAUUCCUCUGACAUUCUUCUAUGAUUCUAUAUAUAUAUAUAGCAUUGGAAUGUUUGUACUUGUGUACCUAUGUGAUCAUUAAUGAUUACACGUACACGUACGUCCAGUAUUAUAAACACAAUUUAGUGCCAUGAAAAAGCAUUUUCUAAAGUGUAGUUAUUUUUAUAUGAAUUAAAUAUUUUGAUUGAUUA
This is a long non-coding RNA of Saccostrea echinata, 764 nucleotides long. RefSeq lists it as uncharacterized. The transcript is spliced from 2 exons. The record is from RefSeq and is a predicted model, not a curated record. NCBI's taxonomy places the organism in Eukaryota, Metazoa, Mollusca, Bivalvia, Ostreida, Ostreidae.